UAAGUAAAAGCCAAAGAUAGAGGCACUUGUUUGUUAAUCAAGAUAUUGUGAUGUCUGUUCACUUACUUAG
This 70-nucleotide transfer RNA is filed under the name Cellana toreuma. Its description in RNAcentral is "tRNA-Asn". Lineage: Eukaryota; Metazoa; Mollusca; Gastropoda; Nacellidae. The record is from RNAcentral.